RNAcentral lists this transfer RNA (74 nucleotides) under Stegodyphus dumicola. Its description in RNAcentral is "tRNA-Ile". It matches the Rfam family "tRNA". From Rfam's summary of the family: Transfer RNA (tRNA) molecules are approximately 80 nucleotides in length. Their secondary structure includes four short double-helical elements and three loops (D, anti-codon, and T loops). Further hydrogen bonds mediate the characteristic L-shaped molecular structure. tRNAs have two regions of fundamental functional importance: the anti-codon, which is responsible for specific mRNA codon recognition, and the 3' end, to which the tRNAs corresponding amino acid is attached (by aminoacyl-tRNA synthetases). tRNAs cope with the degeneracy of the genetic code in two manners: having more than one tRNA (with a specific anti-codon) for a particular amino acid; and 'wobble' base-pairing, i.e. permitting non-standard base-pairing at the 3rd anti-codon position. The record is from RNAcentral. Lineage: Eukaryota; Metazoa; Arthropoda; Arachnida; Araneae; Eresidae.
UCCCCAGUGGCGCAAUUGGUUAGCGCGCCGUACUUAUAAUGCGGAGGUUGUGAGUUCGAUCCUCACCUGGGGAA